RNAcentral lists this ribosomal RNA (518 nucleotides) under uncultured bacterium. Its description in RNAcentral is "partial 16S ribosomal RNA". The record is from RNAcentral.
AGCGACUGUGCAGGUUACCGCGGCUGCUGGCACGGAGUUAGCCGGUGCUUCUUCUGUGAGUGAUGUCCUUCCUGCCGGCUAUUAACCCGCAGGCCUUCUUCCUCACUGAAAGUGCUUUACAACCCGAAGGCCUUCUUCACACACGCGGCAUGGCUGGAUCAGGGUUGCCCCCAUUGUCCAAUAUUCCCCACUGCUGCCUCCCGUAGGAGUCUGGGCCGUGUCUCAGUCCCAGUGUGGCUGAUCAUCCUCUCAGACCAGCUACGGAUCGUCGCCUUGGUGAGCCGUUACCUCACCAACCAGCUAAUCCGACAUAGGCUCAUCCGAUAGCGCGAGGCCCGAAGGUCCCCCGCUUUCCCCCCGUAGGGCGUAUGCGGUAUUAGCCUGGGUUUCCCCAGGUUAUCCCCCACUACCGGGCAGAUUCCUAUGCAUUACUCACCCGUCCGCCGCUCGCCACCAGGGAGCAAGCUCCCCGUGCUGCCGCUCGACUUGCAUGUGUUAGGCCUGCCGCCAGCGUUCAA